UAAAGUCUGGCCUGCCCACUGAUGUUUUUAAGGGCCGCGGUAAUUUGACCGUGCGAAGGUAGCAUAAUCAGUAGUCUUUUAAUUGGAGGCUGGAAUGAAUGGUUGGACAAGGGGGAAGCUGUCUCUUUUUACAAUUUUUGAAUUUUACUUUUAAGUGAAAAGGCUUAAAUAAUUUGGG
Molecule: ribosomal RNA, 178 nt
Filed under: Pandalus borealis (northern shrimp)
Lineage: Eukaryota; Metazoa; Arthropoda; Malacostraca; Decapoda; Pandalidae
Description: partial 16S ribosomal RNA
Rfam family: Archaeal large subunit ribosomal RNA
Source: RNAcentral